This 1386-nucleotide ribosomal RNA is filed under the name uncultured bacterium. RNAcentral describes it as "partial 16S ribosomal RNA". It matches the Rfam family "Bacterial small subunit ribosomal RNA". The record is from RNAcentral.
AGAGUUUGAUCCUGGCUCAGGAUGAACGCUGGCGGCGUGCUUAACACAUGCAAGUCGAACGGGAAUUACUUUAUUGAAACUUCGGUCGAUAUGAUUUAAUUCUAGUGGCGGACGGGUGAGUAACGCGUGGGUAACCUGCCUUGUACAGGGGGAUAACAGUCAGAAAUGACUGCUAAUACCGCAUAAGCGCACAGAGCUGCAUGGCUCGGUGUGAAAAACUCCGGUGGUAUAAGAUGGACCCGCGUUGGAUUAGCUAGUUGGUGAGGUAACGGCCCACCAAGGCGACGAUCCAUAGCCGGCCUGAGAGGGUGAACGGCCACAUUGGGACUGAGACACGGCCCAGACUCCUACGGGAGGCAGCAGUGGGGAAUAUUGCACAAUGGGGGAAACCCUGAUGCAGCGACGCCGCGUGAAGGAAGAAGUAUCUCGGUAUGUAAACUUCUAUCAGCAGGGAAGAAAAUGACGGUACCUGACUAAGAAGCCCCGGCUAACUACGUGCCAGCAGCCGCGGUAAUACGUAGGGGGCAAGCGUUGUCCGGAAUUACUGGGUGUAAAGGGAGCGCAGGCGGGAAGACAAGUUGGAAGUGAAAUCUAUGGGCUCAACCCAUAAACUGCUUUCAAAACUGUUUUUCUUGAGUAGUGCAGAGGUAGGCGGAAUUCCCGGUGUAGCGGUGGAAUGCGUAGAUAUCGGGAGGAACACCAGUGGCGAAGGCGGCCUACUGGGCACCAACUGACGCUGAGGCUCGAAAGUGUGGGUAGCAAACAGGAUUAGAUACCCUGGUAGUCCACACCGUAAACGAUGAUUACUAGGAGUUUGCGAUACAAUGUAAGCUCUACAGCGAAAGCGUUAAGUAAUCCACCUGGGGAGUACGCCGGCAACGGUGAAACUCAAAGGAAUUGACGGGGGCCCGCACAAGCGGAGGAACAUGUGGUUUAAUUCGAUGAUACGCGAGGAACCUUACCCGGGUUUGAACGUAGUCUGACCGGAGUGGAAACACUCUUUCUAGCAAUAGCAGAUUACGAGGUGCUGCAUGGUUGUCGUCAGCUCGUGCCGUGAGGUGUCGGCUUAAGUGCCAUAACGAGCGCAACCCUUAUCACUAGUUACUAACAGGUGAAGCUGAGGACUCUGGUGAGACUGCCAGCGUAAGCUGUGAGGAAGGUGGGGAUGACGUCAAAUCAGCACGGCCCUUACAUCCGGGGCGACACACGUGUUACAAUGGCAUGGACAAAGGGCAGCUACCUGGUGACAGGAUGCUAAUCUCCAAACCAUGUCUCAGUUCGGAUCGGAGUCUGCAACUCGACUCCGUGAAGCUGGAUUCGCUAGUAAUCGCGCAUCAGCCAUGGCGCGGUGAAUACGUUCCCGGGCCUUGUACUCACCGCCCGUCA